UGCAGUCGAGCGAAUGGAUUGAGAGCUUGCUCUCAAGAAGUUAGCGGCGGACGGGUGAGUAACACGUGGGUAACCUGCCCAUAAGACUGGGAUAACUCCGGGAAACCGGGGCUAAUACCGGAUAACAUUUUGAACUGCAUGGUUCGAAAUUGAAAGGCGGCUUCGGCUGUCACUUAUGGAUGGACCCGCGUCGCAUUAGCUAGUUGGUGAGGUAACGGCUCACCAAGGCAACGAUGCGUAGCCGACCUGAGAGGGUGAUCGGCCACACUGGGACUGAAACACGGCCCAGACUCCUACGGGAGGCAGCAGUAGGGAAUCUUCCGCAAUGGACGAAAGUCUGACGGAGCAACGCCGCGUGAGUGAUGAAGGCUUUCGGGUCGUAAAACUCUGUUGUUAGGGAAGAACAAGUGCUAGUUGAAUAAGCUGGCACCUUGACGGUACCUAACCAGAAAGCCACGGCUAACUACGUGCCAGCAGCCGCGGUAAUACGUAGGUGGCAAGCGUUAUCCGGAAUUAUUGGGCGUAAAGCGCGCGCAGGUGGUUUCUUAAGUCUGAUGUGAAAGCCCACGGCUCAACCGUGGAGGGUCAUUGGAAACUGGGAGACUUGAGUGCAGAAGAGGAAAGUGGAAUUCCAUGUGUAGCGGUGAAAUGCGUAGAGAUAUGGAGGAACACCAGUGGCGAAGGCGACUUUCUGAUCUGUAACUGACA
This 708-nucleotide ribosomal RNA is filed under the name Bacillus cereus. RNAcentral's name for it is "bacterial SSU rRNA". It matches the Rfam family "Bacterial small subunit ribosomal RNA", at positions 56 to 745 of the family's 1533-position model. Lineage: Bacteria; Bacillati; Bacillota; Bacilli; Caryophanales; Bacillaceae. The record is from RNAcentral.